CGCGUAGACGGUUUUGUAAGUCAGAUGUGAAAUCCCUGGGCUCAACCUGGGAACUGCAUUUGAAACUGCAUGGCUAGAGUAUGGUAGAGGGAAGUGGAAUUUCCGGUGUAGCGGUGGAAUGCGUAGAUAUCGGAAGGAACACCAGUGGCGAAAGCGACUUCCUGGACCAAUACUGACGUUCAUGUGCGAAAGCGUGGGGAGCAAACAGGAUUAGAUACCCUGGUAGUCCACGCCAUAAACGAUGACAACUAGAUGUUGGGAGGGUCUGCCUCUCGGUGUCGCAGCUAACGCGUUAAGUUGUCCGCCUGGGGAGUACGGCCGCAAGGUUGAA
This 331-nucleotide ribosomal RNA is filed under the name uncultured bacterium. Its description in RNAcentral is "bacterial SSU rRNA". It matches the Rfam family "Bacterial small subunit ribosomal RNA", at positions 568 to 898 of the family's 1533-position model. The record is from RNAcentral.